Molecule: ribosomal RNA, 490 nt
Filed under: uncultured bacterium
Lineage: Bacteria
Description: partial 16S ribosomal RNA
Rfam family: Bacterial small subunit ribosomal RNA
Source: RNAcentral
AUUGAACGCUGGCGGCAGGCCUAACACAUGCAAGUCGAACGGUAACAGGAAGAAGCUUGCUUCUUUGCUGACGAGUGGCGGACGGGUGAGUAAUGUCUGGGAAACUGCCUGCUGGAGGGGGAUAACUACUGGAAACGGUAGCUAAUACCGCAUAACGUCGCAAGACCAAAGAGGGGGACCUUCGGGCCUCUUGCCAUCGGAUGUGCCCAGAUGGGAUUAGAUAGUAGGUGGGGUAACGGCUCACCUAGGCGACGAUCCCUAGCUGGUCUGAGAGGAUGACCAGCCACACUGGAACUGAGACACGGUCCAGACGCCUAAGGGAGGCAGCAGUGGGGAAUAUUGGACAAUGGGCGCAAGCCUGAUGCAGCCAUGCCGCGUGUAUGAAGAAGGCCUUCGGGUUGGAAAGUACUUUCAGCGGGGAGGAAGGGAGUAAAGUUAAUACCUUGGCUCAUUGACGUUACCCGCAGAAGAAGCACCGGCUAACUCCGUG